RNAcentral lists this unclassified non-coding RNA (238 nucleotides) under Paraglomerales sp. RNAcentral describes it as "partial contains 5.8S ribosomal RNA and internal transcribed spacer 2". The record is from RNAcentral. Lineage: Eukaryota; Fungi; Glomeromycota; Glomeromycetes; Paraglomerales.
GUGAAUCAUCAAAUCUUUGAACGCAAAUUGUGCCUUUUUCGGAAGGCAUGUCUGUUUGAGGGCACCAUUUAACAAAUAAUGUGCACCGUUUUGUGUGUGCACACGUUGAUGAGCUUUCCAGGAAAAUUUUUUUUUUUUUUUUUUUUUUGGUGGCCCAAAAUAAAAAGGGGGAAAGUUUUUUUUUUAGUUUGGUGGUAGUAAAAUUUUUUCUUGGGUUGUGAAAAGAAAGUAGCGCCCG